RNAcentral lists this long non-coding RNA (483 nucleotides) under Helianthus annuus (common sunflower). The record is from RNAcentral. Lineage: Eukaryota; Viridiplantae; Streptophyta; Magnoliopsida; Asterales; Asteraceae.
CAUCUUCCGCUCAUCGUUCAAUUAACAGAUCUGCGACUCCGGCAAUUCAGUCAAAACAGAUUCGCGUCUCCGGCGAUCUGAUUCCGGUGAUCAUCGUUCAUCAUCCUCUUGCGCUCAUCGUUCAUCACAACAAAUCUGCGGCUCACGGUAGAUCUGGUGUUUUAUCUGAGUUCAGUUUUGAAUCCGGUUAGGUUUAGCGAUUUCAACCUCACUUCUUCUAUUCUUCGUCUUCACCCCAUCUACUAGAGAAUUCGUCUGCAGAUAUUUGUUAAGAAAGCUGAGACGGCUAAAAAUGAGAAGAAUAGGGCUUCGGUUGUGGCAAUUAAUGCUGAGAUUCGACGGACGAAGGCGAAGUUGCUGGAAGAAGUUCCUAAGUUGCAGAGAUUGGCUAUGAAGAAGGGCCCGGGUCUGUAUUAUGUAGACAGCGAAGGAGAACGCUGUUCUCAGUCGGGUCUGGUUCACCAUAUGCUUAUGGUGUACUAG